RNAcentral lists this ribosomal RNA (460 nucleotides) under uncultured bacterium. Its description in RNAcentral is "partial 16S ribosomal RNA". It matches the Rfam family "Bacterial small subunit ribosomal RNA", at positions 338 to 795 of the family's 1533-position model. The record is from RNAcentral.
CCUACGGGAGGCUGCAGUGAGGAAUAUUGGUCAAUGGGCGUAAGCCUGAACCAGCCAAGUCGCGUGAGGGAUGAAGGUUCUAUGGAUCGUAAACCUCUUUUAUAAGGGAAUAAAGUGCGGGACGUGUCCCGUUUUGUAUGUACCUUAUGAAUAAGGAUCGGCUAACUCCGGGCCAGCAGCCGCGGUAAUACGGAGGAUCCGAGCGUUAUCCGGAUUUAUUGGGGUUAAAGGGUUCGUAGGCGGCCUUUUAAGUCAGCGGGGAAAGUCUGUGGCUCAACCAUAGAAUUGCCGUUGAAACUGGGAGGCUUGAGUAUGUUAGAGGCAGGCGGAAUUCGUGGUGUAGCGGUGAAAUGCUUAGAUAUCACGCAGAACCCCGAUUGCGAAGGCAGCCUGCCAGGCCAUGACUGACGCUGAUGCACGAAAGCGUGGGGAUCAAACAGGAUUAGAUACCCCGGUAGUC